AUGAAAAGCAGCACCUGCUGCAGUUCGUCAAAAAAUAAUCGUACCAUCGUCACGGACGCGGGGCUAAACAGGACUGUGGGUGUCUGUGCUUUUCAGGUGGACCAAGCCGUAUCAAUGGCGUUCGGAGAGAACGGAGCAACCAACUACAUCCGCAUCCAGGUAAGGCAUUACCGCCGGAGCGACGACAGAGGCGGCCAUGGCGGAGCGGGGGGUGGAGUCGGUCCUGUUCCGGGGGAAGAAGCUGAUGCCGCAGACCAACGACGAGCGGCUGGACGGCGUGGUGGAGCAGCUGGUGCGGGAUCCUCCGUGAUUCGGCCAUUGCCAUUCUCCACGGAUCUGGCCGUGGCCACAACCGACGCUGCCGGUUCCAUGGAGGAGCUCACCCCGGCCUUCUCCUCGUUUUCCUCCAUGGUCGGGUCUCCUGGUGGAGGUGCCGAUGUUGCCGGUUCCACAACGCAAGAGCCCGUGGCAACGCGGCAAACUGAAGUUGUUCGCCCGCGUCGCACAGGGCGUCUUUGGCGUCGCAGGAAACCCUACCUUGGGGUUGGCAUAGGGCAUCUCUGGCGUCGUAUGAAACCCCACCGCGGGGCUGGUGCAGGGAGUGGCCGACCAUCCCACCCUGCUGAAGCCGCAGGGCGUCUCUGCCAAGUCCAUGGUUGGCGAGUCCAAGGCCGUCUCUAUCCAGGCCUCCGUGGUUGA
RNAcentral lists this ribosomal RNA (699 nucleotides) under Triticum aestivum (bread wheat). Its description in RNAcentral is "partial small subunit ribosomal RNA". The record is from RNAcentral. Lineage: Eukaryota; Viridiplantae; Streptophyta; Magnoliopsida; Poales; Poaceae.